UGUAUGUAUGUAUGUAUGUGUGUGUGUGUGUGUGUGUGUGUGUGUGUGUGUGUGUGUGUGUGUGUGUGUGUGUGUGUGUGUGUGUAUGUAUGUAUGUAUGUAUGUAUGUAUGUAUGUAGGUAGGUAGGUAGGUAGGUAGGUAGGUAGGUAGGUAUGUAUGUAUAUGUAUGUAUGUACAGUAUGUAUGUAUGUAUGUAUGUAUGUAUGUAUGUAUGUAUGUAUGUAUGUAUGUAUGUAUGUAUGUAUGUAGGUAUGUAUGUAUGUAUGUAUGUAUGUAUGUAUGUAUGUAUGUAUGUAUGUAUGUAUGUAUGUAUGUAUGUAUGUAUGUAUGUAUGUAUGUAUG
Long non-coding RNA from Oncorhynchus tshawytscha (Chinook salmon), 343 nucleotides. Lineage: Eukaryota; Metazoa; Chordata; Actinopteri; Salmoniformes; Salmonidae. The record is from Ensembl.